UGUCCCAUGGCUUAGUUGGUUACGGCGUCCGACUGUUAUUUCAUAACUUACGGUAUCGGAAGAUCGAGAGUUCAAGUCUCUCUGGGACAG
Non-coding RNA from Crucibulum laeve, 90 nucleotides. Lineage: Eukaryota; Fungi; Basidiomycota; Agaricomycetes; Agaricales; Nidulariaceae. The record is from the annotation of a GenBank genome assembly.